GACGAACGCUGGCGGCGUGCCUAAUACAUGCAAGUAGAACGCACAGUUUAUACCGUAGCUUGCUACACCAUAGACUGUGAGUUGCGAACGGGUGAGUAACGCGUAGGUAACCUGCCUGGUAGCGGGGGAUAACUAUUGGAAACGAUAGCUAAUACCGCAUAAUAUUAAUUAUUGCAUGAUAAUUGAUUGAAAGAUGCAACUGCAUCACUACCAGAUGGACCUGCGUUGUAUUAGCUAGUAGGUGAGGUAACGGCUCACCUAGGCGACGAUACAUAGCCGACCUGAGAGGGUGAUCGGCCACACUGGGACUGAGACACGGCCCAGACUCCUACGGGAGGCAGCAGUAGGGAAUCUUCGGCAAUGGACGAAAGUCUGACCGAGCAACGCCGCGUGAGUGAAGAAGGUUUUCGGAUCGUAAAGCUCUGUUGUAAGAGAAGAACGGGUGUGAGAGUGGAAAGUUCACACUG
Molecule: ribosomal RNA, 467 nt
Filed under: Streptococcus gordonii
Lineage: Bacteria; Bacillati; Bacillota; Bacilli; Lactobacillales; Streptococcaceae
Description: bacterial SSU rRNA
Rfam family: Bacterial small subunit ribosomal RNA
Source: RNAcentral